GACGAACGCUGGCGGCGUGCUUAACACAUGCAAGUUGAACGGUAAGGCCCUUCGGGGUACACGAGUGGCGAACGGGUGAGUAACACGUGGGUGAUCUGCCCUGCACUUCGGGAUAAGCCUGGGCAACUGGGUCUAAUACCGGAUAGGACUCCUGGCUUCAUGGUUGGGGGUGGAAAGCUUUUGCGGUGUGGGAUGGGCCCGCGGCCUAUCAGCUUGUUGGUGGGGUAAUGGCCUACCAAGGCGACGACGGGUAGCCGGCCUGAGAGGGUGACCGGUCACACUGGGACUGAGAUACGGCCCAGACUCCUACGGGAGGCAGCAGUGGGGAAUAUUGCACAAUGGGCGCAAGCCUGAUGCAGCGACGCCGCGUGAGGGAUGACGGUCUUCGGGUUGUAAACCUCUUUCAGCUAUGACGAAGCGCAAGUGACGGUAGUAGCAGAAGAAGGACCGGCCAACUACGUGCCAGCCGCCGCAGUAA
RNAcentral lists this ribosomal RNA (478 nucleotides) under uncultured bacterium. RNAcentral's name for it is "partial 16S ribosomal RNA". It matches the Rfam family "Bacterial small subunit ribosomal RNA", at positions 28 to 523 of the family's 1533-position model. The record is from RNAcentral.